GAUGAACGCUGGCGGCGUGCCUAAUACAUGCAAGUCGAGCGAACAGACGAGGAGCUUGCUCCUCUGACGUUAGCGGCGGACGGGUGAGUAACACGUGGAUAACCUACCUAUAAGACUGGGAUAACUUCGGGAAACCGGAGCUAAUACCGGAUAAUAUAUUGAACCGCAUGGUUCAAUAGUGAAAGACGGUUUUGCUGUCACUUAUAGAUGGAUCCGCGCCGCAUUAGCUAGUUGGUAAGGUAACGGCUUACCAAGGCAACGAUGCGUAGCCGACCUGAGAGGGUGAUCGGCCACACUGGAACUGAGACACGGUCCAGACUCCUACGGGAGGCAGAAGUAGGGAAUCUUCCGCAAUGGGCGAAAGCUUGAAGGAGCAACGCCGCGUGAGUGAUGAAGGUCUUCGGAUCGUAAAACUCUGUUAUUAGGGAAGAACAAAUGUGUAAGUAACUAUGCACGUCUUGACGGUACCUAAUCAGAAAGCCACGGCUAACUACGUG
Molecule: ribosomal RNA, 497 nt
Filed under: uncultured bacterium
Lineage: Bacteria
Description: partial 16S ribosomal RNA
Rfam family: Bacterial small subunit ribosomal RNA
Source: RNAcentral